RNAcentral lists this ribosomal RNA (496 nucleotides) under uncultured bacterium. RNAcentral's name for it is "partial 16S ribosomal RNA". It matches the Rfam family "Bacterial small subunit ribosomal RNA", at positions 29 to 507 of the family's 1533-position model. The record is from RNAcentral.
AUGAACGCUGGCGGCGUGCCUAAUACAUGCAAGUCGAGCGAACAGAUGAGGAGCUUGCUCCUCUGACGUUAGCGGCGGACGGGGGAGUAACACGUGGAUAACCUACCUAUAAGACUGGGAUAACUUCGGGAAACCGGAGCUAAUACCGGAUAAUAUAUUGAACCGCAUGGUUCAAUAGUGAAAGACGGUUUUGCUGGCACUUAUAGAUGGAUCCGCGCCGCAUUAGCUAGUUGGUAAGGUAACGGCUUACCAAGGCAACGAUGCGUAGCCGACCUGAGAGGGUGAUCGGCCACACUGGAACUGAGACACGGUCCAGACUCCUACGGGAGGCAGCAGUAGGGAAUCUUCCGCAAUGGGCGAAAGCCUGACGGAGCAACGCCGCGUGAGUGAUGAAGGUCUUCGGAUCGUAAAACUCUGUUAUUAGGGAAGAACAAAUGUGUAAGUAACUAUGCACGUCUUGACGGUACCUAAUCAGAAAGCCACGGCUAACUACGUG